AUGUCAGAAUUACAACCUGAGGUUACAGCACUGUGACACUUUCAAGCUCUUCAAGGUUUGUCAAGCACAGUUAAUUAUAUUUACUAGAAGUCUCUCACCUCUCAUACUCAUGCACCUUAAUCAUACACACAGUGGAAAUCUAUAAAGACCUUAGAAUAAAAGGAGCGCGUUUAAACACUGCCUUUAGAACACAAAGAUGUAUCUGUGAUUUUGAAAAUAAGAAAGUUUUAUUGUUUUCAUUUGACCCAGGUCUUGAGCAAGGGCUUCAGGGAGAGGCUCAGACAGAAGACCGGACACCACAGGGGAUGAUGCCAGAGGGCCCCUCAAAAACUUCUGGGCUCCCGAGUCUCCUAGUCACGCUUGAGGGUGAACCUUCCGGGGAGACCCUCCCCCAGCCCAGCCCGAAAAGUCUCACCUCCUCCUCUAGGAAGUGGUUCUCCAGGAAGUCACAGAGAUGGCUCUCUCCACGGGCACGCAGAUCCCGAAGGGCUUGGUUCAGGAUCUUCCCCAGAACCUUGGCGGCUUCCUUGGCCUCCAGGGUUUUACCCCCACUCCUCUCGCGAAGGCUUCUGUACUUUCCGGAAAAGGGCACGAAGCCGCCCCCUCCCCCGCGCUGUUUUUGCAUUUUCAAGGGAGGCUGGGUGAUCUCGCUUCUCCUUGCCAACGGGCAGAAGUGGCCCACGCCCUGCGGAGCCACACCCUCCAGGCCAGAUAGAAGCCCAGAGAAAGGCAGACAAGUACAUCUGUGUGAGGGACUCCUGGGUUCAAAUAUUUUCUGCUCCUCUCACAUAUGGACCUUUGUCAAGAGCAGCUGCCCUGAAUUCUCCAGCAGAUGGAAGUUCAUCUCUUCCAUGACAUCUGUUUUGCCAUUUUGCUCCAUAGCUAUUCAAGACUUUCAAGCACUGCUCUGUAUGCUCUUCCUAGAGAUUUCCUCUGCUUCAGAUGCAGUGAUGAGAAUGUCCGCCUCUGUGCUUCUUCAGUGACAAUGACACACCCACAACACCCCCUGAGCUCCACCCUGCUUUCAGUAGCUGCCUCUGCAUGCUACCUCACUUCUGUGUUCUUCCAUAGUUUUUCUGAUGAUGAAACAGUGGAGUGAUUACUUUCCAUCCUAUACAUCUCAAUUAGGUCUUGGUUAAAAAUAGAUUUUCCCUUGCAAGAAACAUGAAUGUAAUGGUGCCUUUUGUGUCACACUAUUAAAUAUCUUCCCUGGAAGAACCAUCUCAGGAAUCUAUGCUUUAACAUUUUCAUGGUCACAGUUAUUCAUGCUAUCCUUGUCUUUUAGAGAUAUAAAGAGGCAUUUUAAACGCAAUAAGCAUCAGUGAAUUUCAGAUUCAGUCUGUCCAGUUAACGCUAAAACAAUUAAGUAAAAAUAUAUACAUAUGUACAUUUAUACAUACAUAAAAAUAAUUAAAAUAUAACAAGAAAGCCCAUAUAGAAGAUCACAUGGCUAUGAAUUACUCUUUUUCACUCUCCCAGUAAUUGUCAAGAUUUUCAAAAAGAAAACAUGCUACAAGUAUUUCCAUAUACUUUAAUAUGAAAUAUAAUUUAUAAAUACCCUGAUAUAUGUAGCUAUGGACAGUACAGAUACAGACACAGAUAUAGAUCAGUCAAGGUUUCUUCAAGAAUGUAGAAGACUAUAUAUUACAAAAAUAGCAAAGGUGAGAGGAAUCACUUACCAACAAUUUCAGCCAGUGGUGUGAAGACAGGUGGCUCUUAAUAACUCUCUAAAAAGUUGCUGCAAUUUACAAGGGUCUUUGGGAAGUCUUCACAAAUUUUGUGGUUUGGGCCACAAAAGUGAACAGUUAUCCAGAUAACCAACUGUGAACUUAAUAUCGGUAUCUGCCUGAGACACCUCUUUCUUCCUCGUGUACAAAUCUUGUUAGAUUACUUCUCAUUGAUAAAUUCUGGAAAAGCAUAAAGUGAUGGUGAACUUCCAAGAGACCACCCAGGACAAACAUACAUACAGAAAAAUUGAAGAAAAUUGAAAUGUCCAUACAGCUGAGCAGUAAAUUAUAAAGCAACCACCAAUGGAAGUACCGAUCAGAUAAAAAAAAAUAAAACAAAAGUGACAUUGCCA
RNAcentral lists this long non-coding RNA (2080 nucleotides) under Felis catus (domestic cat). RNAcentral describes it as "lncRNA (ENSFCAG00000045167.2)". The record is from RNAcentral. Lineage: Eukaryota; Metazoa; Chordata; Mammalia; Carnivora; Felidae.